Molecule: transfer RNA, 67 nt
Filed under: Otolemur garnettii (small-eared galago)
Lineage: Eukaryota; Metazoa; Chordata; Mammalia; Primates; Galagidae
Rfam family: tRNA
About the family: Transfer RNA (tRNA) molecules are approximately 80 nucleotides in length.
Source: Rfam by way of RNAcentral
CCUGUAGCUCAGUGGCCAGGGCACCAGCCUCAUACACCGGAGGUGGCGGGUUCGAAUCCAGCCCAGG